This is a long non-coding RNA of Daphnia carinata, 1629 nucleotides long. RefSeq lists it as uncharacterized. The record is from RefSeq and is a predicted model, not a curated record. Lineage: Eukaryota; Metazoa; Arthropoda; Branchiopoda; Diplostraca; Daphniidae. The transcript has 7 exons.
UCAUAAAAUUUUGUUUCUCUCCCACUGUGUUAAUCUACUACCUGCAUUACGUUUCUUUCCGUCUCUUUACUUAGCAAACAUGAAAGUAAAAUGGAAAAUCGUGGAGCUUGAGAAAGGGGUUGCAAAAUCUGCAUAGAAAGUAAAAACACAGCAGGGUUUGCAAUAAGACGACCAGGUAAGUGCAACUAGGGUAAGGACGUGAUAGUAUCAGCCAUUAUGCAUUUGUGUUAUCCCUUUCUCUUAGUCGUGGCGCUUUAAUGUUUUUAGGAAAAAGGGAGAGUUUAAUGUGCUUCGAAUCCAGUACACACAGGAAUGUAUAAAUAAGAAGUGGGGUGAAUGAAAUCUCUCCUUUCCUUUUUUCUCUUUCAAAUGUGAAAGAGAAAAUGAAAACAGGUGUCAUGGAGUUAAGGCCUUUUUAUGUAAGCCAUUCUUCUUAAGAUAUUGUGUUCUAUUGCGAAGAUCAAGUCUUGUGCUAAUGAUUUGCCAAAUGGGAAACCUAAAAUAAAUCUAAAGUGGAAUGUAUUCACUUCAAAUCACUCUGGCACAUCCACCAAUUCCGACAGAGAAGCAACAACUGAACACACCUUUUUCUUGAUACAGACUUGUUUGAAAUUCAUUACUGGUUACGUUUACAACUAGGAUGUGGCAGCCUCCCAUUACCUAUUGCAAUUCUAUACUUUUUUUUGGCUAUUGCUGGAGGCAUCUUUGCCAUUUAGAGAUUUGGGCGUCAAUUGCCGUAGACGAUUUAGGGAUUCUGAAGGAUGUUUGUCAUGCCUAUCACAAACUAGUCACGGGGUUCAUUGAAUUGCCAAACAACGCGCGUCGUUCUUGCUACAUCUAUUUAGAUUUUUGGCUAAUGCUACACCAAGAUUUAAAAAGAAACCAUGUGGAUCAAGAAUCCAACCCAAAACAUUCCCGUAGGCGAAUUACUAUCAAAAACUUUAAGUGAUUGUGGAACCAAUUGGCAUUUGUUAAUUGAAAUAACAUUAACCGACAGAAGACAUAGAUGAUUUUCCUAAUAUAAAUCAGACUCAAGAGCAUUCUUCGCUUUACAUCGUGUCGCAAGAAAACAUGCAGUGGAUUCAGCAAAAUUCUAUAAAAAACUAAGAACAAGAUAAAGCUUACGGUCACGCUGAAGACGUCCAUCCCGAACUAAAACAACUCACGGCACGAUUUGAACGCAAUGAUAACACAGCGCCCAAUAGAGUUAAUGGCAUCUUUCGGCUUGGGGGUGAACCACUGUUGAUUUUCUGUACCAAUCAAAUCAUCGUCGCAUUGCGAUCGAGUUCCUGUUUUAAUCAAACGGCUCUCCGUUGUUCAAACGGUCGUUCUUGUUCGUGAUCGAAUCCAAGGGCGUGCAUAAGUUCGUGAGUCACUGUCGCACGGUUAACGCAUGCGCCGUCAAGACUCAAUUCCUGCGCGUUUCCAGCUCUCCCUUUUAGUGACCAGCAGCUAAUUAAAGCAAAUUUACAUGGUCAUACCCGGGAUUGUUUUGCUGUCCGCUCGUCGAUUCUCGGCUUCGAAUAAUUUUCACGUAGUCCUUUUGAGUGCCGCGUGCCACGAAACGAAUGCAAGUCAUUUGGUGGUACAUUGCCAUAGCGGACGCGAUGAUUCGACGAUCUUCCGCCG